GACGAACGCUGGCGGCGUGCUUAAUACAUGCAAGUCGAGCGAAGUUCUUCCGGUGCUUGCACCGGACAAACUUAGCGGCGAACGGGUGAGUAACACGUAAAGAACCUGCCUCAUAGACUGGGACAACUGUUGGAAACGAUAGCUAAUACCGGAUAAUAGCAUUAACUGCAUUGUUGAUGUUUAAAAGUUGGUUUUGCUCACACUAUGAGAUGGCUUUGCGGUGCAUUAGCUAGUUGGAUGGGUAAAGGACUACCAAGGCGAGGAUGCAUAGCCGACCUGAGCGAGUGAUCGACCACCCGGGGACUCGAACACGCCCCAGACUCCUACGGGAGGCCGCAGUAGGGAAACUCACGCAAUGGGGGAAAGCCUGACGGAGAAACGCGACGUGAGUAAAGAAGGAUUUCGGUUGGUAAGGCCCGGUUUUUAGGGAGUAAGGCAUGUGUCGUAAAAAUACCCAGUAGUGACGGUACCUAACCAGAAAGCCACGGCUAACUACGUG
This 499-nucleotide ribosomal RNA is filed under the name uncultured bacterium. RNAcentral's name for it is "partial 16S ribosomal RNA". It matches the Rfam family "Bacterial small subunit ribosomal RNA", at positions 28 to 507 of the family's 1533-position model. The record is from RNAcentral.